CAGGAGCCUGGCCCCACCACAAGGCACUCAGCCCACACUGGCUGACAGAUCAAAGGGGGAACACAGUGGGAGGCCGCCCUAACCACGGGCCACACCUCCCUCCAGGACUCUGUCAGCUCCUCCACCAGGCCAGGCGCCAGAGGCGGUGUGGCCAGUAUAGUCACAGGCUGGGCCUGGCCCAUGGCUGGCGGGGUUGGCCCCCUAGGUACCUCCCACUGCCAGCCAGGGCGCCAGGCUACUGUGAUCUCCGGGAAAGAUCUGAACACAGCUCUGUUCUCCAAACAAAAUGCAGCACUGCGCAGCCCUCAAGAGAGGCAACCCAGCAAGACCUAUCACGUAAAGCUACUGCUAUCUGAGGCCAGACCACCACCUGCCUGUGCUGGAGACCCAGGCUCUGAACUUCCUGAGCCUUUGCUGUGUCUCUCUUGAAUUUCAAAGUCAUUGUAACCAUUUCAGGUGUCCCUGUGUCAACACACAUUUCCUUUGCAGGAAACAUCAAAUCCUGCCACACAGCCCAGGAGCUGAGGGAGCAACAAGACCCUUCCUGAGGGCAAACUAGGGUCACGAGAAUGGGGUCAGGUUCAUCAUCAACAGGCUGAAAUUGGAGGACAGAAGGACAAGAAGAACCUAGAAAGAAUCUCUAGAGUCUCCAGCACCCCAGAACCUGAUAACACUACUCCUCCAGAAAGGAUAGACCUGAGUUUAUAAACCUGUGGGAAAACAGAUGCACCUUGAGACGAUAACGUCAAGUGAAAUAAAUCAGAUUCGGCUUAAAGAUUGCAUGGCUUCUCCUAUAUGAGAAAUUCAAAAAAUCAAUAAAGAGCAAAAUAAAAGAUGUAUAAUAGGAAGUUAAGGAGAUACAUCUUUCACAAAGGGGAAGGGGACCAAGAGAUGGAGGGGAAAUGAAACAAGAAUUAAGCUCCAUAUCGUAGGCACAUGUACCCACCUCCACAUGAUGAGUGUAAUUAUUAUUAUAAUCAUGUACCGAUAAGUUUUUAAAAAUGAACUCUGCCAAAAUCAUACUCGAUAAGAUUGAACAAAAUCAGUUAUACAUGUAUACACGCACAGACACACACACACACAGAAGGGCAUGUAAGACAGGCCAAAUCUGCAUCAAAGUGACUAGGUUAUAUAAAUCUCAAUUUUCUGGUCAUGAAAUUUAUUGUUCUAUAUCUACACAAUGUUAGCUCUGGGAUAAACUGGGUUAAAGCUACAUGAGAACUGUCUGUAUUAUUUUAC
Long non-coding RNA from Fukomys damarensis (Damara mole-rat), 1239 nucleotides. RefSeq lists it as uncharacterized. NCBI's taxonomy places the organism in Eukaryota, Metazoa, Chordata, Mammalia, Rodentia, Bathyergidae. The transcript has 4 exons. The record is from RefSeq and is a predicted model, not a curated record.